RNAcentral lists this ribosomal RNA (261 nucleotides) under uncultured archaeon. Its description in RNAcentral is "partial 16S ribosomal RNA". It matches the Rfam family "Archaeal small subunit ribosomal RNA", at positions 748 to 1008 of the family's 1478-position model. The record is from RNAcentral.
CAGCCGUAAACUAUGCGCGUUAGGUGUACUGGUGACCACGAGUCACCGGGGUGCCGAAGGGAAACCGUGAAACGUGCCGCCUGGGAAGUACGGUCGCAAGGCUGAAACUUAAAGGAAUUGGCAGGGGAGCACCACAACGGGUGGAGCCUGCGGUUUAAUUGGACUCAACGCCGGAAAUCUCACCGGAUAGGACAGACAUAUGAUAGUCGGGCUGAAGACUCUACUUGAUGAUCUGAGAGGUGGUGCAUGGCGUCAGUGACU